GUUUUCGGAUGGAAACUAAAAUGACUGAGUGGCGGACGGGUGAGUAACGCGUGGAUAACCUACCUCAUACCGGGGGACAACAGUUAGAAAUGACUGCUAAUACCGCAUAAGCGCACAGUACCACAUGGUACAGUGUGAAAAACUCCGGUGGUAUGAGAUGGAUCCGCGUCUGAUUAGCUAGUUGGUGGGGUAAUGGCCCACCAAGGCGACGAUCAGUAGCCGACCUGAGAGGGUGACCGGCCACAUUGGGACUGAGACACGGCCCAAACUCCUACGGGAGGCAGCAGUGGGGAAUAUUGCACAAUGGGCGAAAGCCUGAUGCAGCGACGCCGCGUGAGCGAAGAAGUAUUUCGGUAUGUAAAGCUCUAUCAGCAGGGAAGAAAAUGACGGUACCUGACUAAGAAGCCCCGGCUAACUACGUGCCAGCAGCCGCGGUAAUACGUAGGGGGCAAGCGUUAUCCGGAUUUACUGGGUGUAAAGGGAGCGUAGACGGCAUAGUAAGUUUGAAGUGAAAACCUGUGGCUCAACCAUAGGACUGCUUUGAAAACUACUAAGCUAGAGUGUCGGAGAGGUAAGUGGAAUUCCUAGUGUAGCGGUGAAAUGCGUAGAUAUUAGGAGGAACACCAGUGGCGAAGGCGGCUUACUGGACGAUAACUGACGUUGAGGCUCGAAAGCGUGGGGAGCAAACAGGAUUAGAUACCCUGGUAGUCCACGCCGU
RNAcentral lists this ribosomal RNA (718 nucleotides) under uncultured bacterium. RNAcentral describes it as "bacterial SSU rRNA". It matches the Rfam family "Bacterial small subunit ribosomal RNA", at positions 73 to 803 of the family's 1533-position model. The record is from RNAcentral.